AAAGAAACUAACAAGGAUUCCCUCAGUAACGGCGAGUGAAGCGGGAAGAGCUCAAAUUUGAAAUCUCCGGUGCUUGCACCGGCGAGUUGUAGUUGCGAGAAGCACUUUCUAGGUGGAUCGGCGGUGCCUAAGUUGCUUGGAACAGCACGUCGCAGAGGGUGACAACCCCGUCUGUGGCGUCGCCGGCCGCUGACGAUGUGCUUUCGAAGAGUCGGGUUGUUUGGGAAUGCAGCCCAAAAUGGGUGGUAAACUCCAUCUAAAGCUAAAUACUGGCGUGAGACCGAUAGCGAACAAGUACCGUGAGGGAAAGAUGAAAAGAACUUUGAAAAGAGAGUUAAAAAGUACGUGAAACCGUCGGAAGGGAAACGAAUGGACUCAGCAAUGCGCCCUCUGAGAUUCAGCCGCGUGGGUGGCGUCGGCGCGGGGUUUGCGGAUCUGAAUGGACCGCGGCCCGGCGCUCGCUUCUUCCCGCCGUCGCACUUCUCUAGGGCGCGCGUCAACGUGGGUUGGGACUGGGUCUGAAAGGUGCCGGGAAGGUAGGUGUGGGCCUUCGGGUCCGUUCUGUUACAGCCCGGUUCUCUCAUGGCUCGGGCCCGACCGAGGAGCAGACAGGGCAUGCCUCCUGUGGCUAGGGUCCCGUCCUUCCGGCCGGCUGUCCAGUGUGGUGGACUGCUUGCAG
Molecule: ribosomal RNA, 679 nt
Filed under: Dipsastraea speciosa
Lineage: Eukaryota; Metazoa; Cnidaria; Anthozoa; Scleractinia; Merulinidae
Description: partial 28S ribosomal RNA
Rfam family: Eukaryotic large subunit ribosomal RNA
Source: RNAcentral